GGUUCGAUUAUGGCUCAGACGAACGCUGGCGGGAUGCUUUACACAUGCAAGUCGAACGGCAGCACGGACUUCGGUCUGGUGGCGAGUGGCGAACGGGUGAGUAAUGUAUCGGAACGUGCCUAGUAGCGGGGGAUAACGCUACGCGAAAAGCGUAGCUAAUACCGCAUACGCCUCUUCGGGGGAAAGCGGGGGGACCUUCGGGCCUCGCACUAUUAGAGCGGCCGAUAUCGGAUUAGUUAGUUGGUGGGGUAACGGCUCACCAAGGCGACGAUCCGUAGCUGGUUUGAGAGGACGACCAGCCACACUGGGACUGAGACACGGCCCAGACUCCUACGGGAGGCAGCAGUGUGGGAAUUUUGGAUAAUGGGGAAACCCUGAUCCAGCCAUCCCGCGUGUGCGAUGAAGGCCUUCGGGUUGUAAAGCACUUUGGCAGGAAAAGAAACGGCACGGGAUAAUACCCCGUGCAACUGACGGUACCUGCAGAAUAAGCACCGGCUAACUACGUGCCAGCAGCCGCGGUGGUUACGUAGGGUAAGCGUUAAUCGGAAUUACUGGGCGAAAGCGUGCGCAGGCGGUUCGGAAAGAAAGAUGUGAAAUCCUUAGAGCUUAACUUUGGAACUGCAUUUUUAACUACCGAGCUAGAGGGUUGGGGAGGGAGGUGGAAUCUGCGUGUAGCAGUGAAAUGCGUAGAUAUGCGGAGGAACACCGAUGGCGAAGGCAGCCUCCUGGGAUAACACUGACGCUCAUGCACGAAAGCGCACGGGGAGCAAACAGGAUUAGAUACCCUGGUAGUCCACGCCCUAAACGAUGUCAACUAGCUGUUGGGGCCUUCGGGCCUUUGGUAGCGCAGCUAACGCGUGAAGUUGACCGCCUCGGGGAGUACGGUCGCAAGAUUAAAACUCAAAGGAAUUGACGGGGACUCGCACAAGCGGUGGAUGAUGUGGAUUAAUUCGAUGCAACGCGAAAAACCUACCUACCCUUGACAUGUCUGGAAUCCCGAAGAGAUUUGGGAGUGCUCGUAAGAGAACCGGAACACAGGUGCUGCAUGGCUGUCGUCAGCUCGUGUCGUGAGAUGUUGUUAUCCGGCAACGAGCGCAACCCUUGUCAUUAGUUGCUACGAAAGGGCACUCUAAUGAGACUGCCGGUGACAAACCGGAGGAAGGUGGGGAUGACGUCAAGUCCUCAUGGCCCUUGCGGUAGGGCUUCACACGCUAUACAAUGGUCGGGACAGAGGGUCGCCAACCCGCGAGGGGGAGCCAAUCCCAGAAACCCGAUCGUAGUCCGGAUCGCAGUCUGCAACUCGACUGCGUGAAGUCGGAAUCAUAGUAAUCGCGGAUCAGCAUGUCGCGGUGAAUACGUUCCCGGGUCUUGUACACACCGCCCGUCACACCAUGGGAGUGGGUUUUACCAGAAGUAGUUAGCCCAACUGCAAGGAGGGCGACUACCACGGUAGGAUUCAUGACUGGGGUGAAGUCGUAACAAGGUAACCUCUUGUGCCGACACCGAUGCUCCU
This 1513-nucleotide ribosomal RNA is filed under the name uncultured Bordetella sp. Its description in RNAcentral is "partial 16S-23S ribosomal RNA intergenic spacer". It matches the Rfam family "Bacterial small subunit ribosomal RNA". Lineage: Bacteria; Pseudomonadati; Pseudomonadota; Betaproteobacteria; Burkholderiales; Alcaligenaceae. The record is from RNAcentral.